Molecule: long non-coding RNA, 611 nt
Organism: Hyla sarda
Lineage: Eukaryota; Metazoa; Chordata; Amphibia; Anura; Hylidae
Exons: 3
Source: RefSeq, a predicted model, not a curated record
CCUUGGUAGAGCAGUUAAUGUAGUGCUUGAUAGAGAUGGGGUCAAAUUGUAAGGGUACCAAAUUAGUCUUAGUGACAUACUGGCAUGCCUGGCAAUGUCCGCAUUUAAAGCACCCCUUCAUAGGUGCCAUCCGGCCUAUCCCGGCCCGUAGAGUCAUCUUUGUACCAGCAUGUCACCAAGACUGCGUCCCCGCCUAUAGGUGAUCUGAGGCGAGUCACCAGCAAUGUCUCGCAGGAACGGAAGUGAGGUCAGACGCCACUAUCUUGCUGCAUCCUGUGAGUGAGCCGGUGAUCCCUUGCUCCCUGCUUCACACAGGUCUUAAGGUCUUACCUCCCCGUCUUCUUGCCCAUCUGUAGAAAGGUGGAUGCGAAUAUGACCGUCAUCUGAAUAUUAUGUUGUGACCAUUUGGAGUUGUGUUUUUCUCCCACAGGACUUCAUUAUUAUGCAAUCUGUGUUAUUCCUAGCCUGUGCAUUUAUGGCUUAGAGACAAAACUUGCUUGCAGGUCCUCGUGGUCACACACAUACAUUAUGCCACCAUAGUUGUGGCAAAAGGUCUUACCUGUAUUAUUAUGUACCUCCCUCAUGAUGCCAUCAUAAAAUCUGGUGGUAGA